GGGGAAAGAAGACCCUGUUGACCUUGACUCUAGUCUGGCACUGUAAGGAGACAUGAGAGGUGUAGCAUAAGUGG
This 74-nucleotide non-coding RNA is filed under the name Trichomalopsis sarcophagae. RNAcentral's name for it is "Eukaryotic large subunit ribosomal RNA". It matches the Rfam family "Eukaryotic large subunit ribosomal RNA", at positions 2399 to 2472 of the family's 3401-position model. The record is from Rfam by way of RNAcentral. Lineage: Eukaryota; Metazoa; Arthropoda; Insecta; Hymenoptera; Pteromalidae.